CGGCGGCCUUUUAGCCAUUCGUGUCUUCGAUUUGACUUCAAGUUGCCUAGAUCUCAAGUUGCCUCGUGUGUUUAAAAAUGGUCAAAUCGAUGGCACUCUGGCUAGAUCGACGCGUUGGCGUGUGAGUGGACGAUCGAAUGUAUGUGUCGGCUGGCUCCCUGCUUGCGCAGCGAACGGCCUUCGCAUACAUAUUUCAGUCGGGACGGAGAUGUGCGCGUCGGAUUUUUGUGUUGCCAACCCAAGUGAUGGAAUUCAUGUUGCCCCCGAUGCGUCACUUCGCCGACCACCCCUCGAGGUGCUAGGCGGACGAUGAAGCUGCCCCUUUUUUAGCCAUGCCCUCCCUUUUCGGGAACCACGGAAAACUGGUGGUGUCGCUUGUUGCCUCGGAUGCAGAGCGCGAAGCGGGCAUGACGCAAGUCGUCAUCGCUCAUUCAGAGCUCUCGGUUGCUCGGAAAGAGAGACCGUCGCGCUUGGUUCUGGCUCAGCCAGAGUCCUUGCCGACGUCUUCAAUGAAUGCUACCUGGUUGAUCCUGCCAGUAGUCAUAUGCUUGUCUCAAAGAUUAAGCCAUGAG
This 572-nucleotide unclassified non-coding RNA is filed under the name Sedum catorce. RNAcentral describes it as "partial contains external transcribed spacer and 18S ribosomal RNA". The stretch from base 518 to 572 matches the Rfam family "Eukaryotic small subunit ribosomal RNA", at positions 1 to 55 of the family's 1831-position model. The record is from RNAcentral. Lineage: Eukaryota; Viridiplantae; Streptophyta; Magnoliopsida; Saxifragales; Crassulaceae.